CCAAUAGCGUAUAUUAAAGUUGUUGCAGUUAAAAAGCUCGUAGUUGAAUUUCGGGAUCAAUACGUCGGUCGUGCUUUCGGGUACGUACUGGCGUCAUUGGUUUCUCCUUUCUGACGAACCAUGAUGUCAUUAAUUUGGUGUUAUGGGGAGUUAGGACUGUUACUUUGAAAAAAUUAGAGUGUUUAAAGCAGGCUCACGCUUGAAUACAUUAGCAUGGAAUAAUGAAAUAGGACGUUUGAUUCUAUUUUGUUGGUUUCUAGGAUCGACGUAAUGAUUAAUAGGGAUAGUUGGGGGCAUUAGUAUUCAAUUGUCAGAGGUGAAAUUCUUGGAUUUAUUGAAGACUAACUACUGCGAAAGCAUUUGCCAAGGAUGUUUUCAUUAAUCAAGAACGAAAGUUAGGGGAUCGAAGACGAUCAGAUACCGUCGUAGUCUUAACCAUAAACUAUGCCGACUAGGGAUCGGAUGAUGUUAAUUUUUUAAUGACUCAUUCGGCGCCUUACG
This 501-nucleotide ribosomal RNA is filed under the name uncultured Glomeromycotina. RNAcentral's name for it is "SSU rRNA". It matches the Rfam family "Eukaryotic small subunit ribosomal RNA", at positions 591 to 1092 of the family's 1831-position model. Lineage: Eukaryota; Fungi; Glomeromycota. The record is from RNAcentral.